This 252-nucleotide ribosomal RNA is filed under the name uncultured bacterium. RNAcentral describes it as "partial 16S ribosomal RNA". It matches the Rfam family "Bacterial small subunit ribosomal RNA", at positions 524 to 776 of the family's 1533-position model. The record is from RNAcentral.
UACGUAGGAUGCGAGCGUUAUCCAGAUUUAUUGGGUUUAAAGGGUGCGUAGGCGGUCCGUUAAGUCAGCGGUAAAAUUGCGGGGCUCAACCCCGUCGAGCCGUUGAAACUGUCAGACUUGAGUUGGCGAGAAGUACGCGGAAUGCGCGGUGUAGCGGUGAAAUGCAUAGAUAUCGCGCAGAACUCCGAUUGCGAAGGCAGCGUACCGGCGCCACACUGACGCUGAGGCACGAAAGCGUGGGGAUCGAACAGG